Molecule: ribosomal RNA, 429 nt
Filed under: uncultured bacterium
Lineage: Bacteria
Description: bacterial SSU rRNA
Rfam family: Bacterial small subunit ribosomal RNA
Source: RNAcentral
UGGGGAAUCUUGCGCAAUGGGCGAAAGCCUGACGCAGCGACGCCGCGUGGAGGAUGAAGGUCUCCGGAUUGUAAACUUCUGUUAAGUGGGAAGAAAUGUUCGUCUCUAAUACAGACGGAAGAUGACGGUACCAUUAAAGAAAGCACCGGCUAAUCUCGUGCCAGCAGCCGCGGUAAUACGAGAGGUGCAAGCGUUAUUCGGAAUUAUUGGGCGUAAAGAGUGCGUAGACGGUACGUUAAGUCAAUUGUUAAAUUCCUCGGCCUAACCGAGGGUCAGCGGUCGAUACUGGCGUACUAGAGGGUGGAAGAGAGAAGUGGAAUUCUCGGAGUAGCGGUAAAAUGCGUAGAUCUCGAGAGGAACACCGAUGGCGAAGGCAGCUUCUUGGUCCAUUUCUGACGUUGAGGCACGAAAGCGUGGGGAGCAAACAGG